GACGAACCACACAAACGUUAUUCGGAAUUACUGGGCUUAAAGGGUGCGUAGGCGGCGCGGAAAGUAGGGUGUGAAAUCCCUCGGCUCAACCGAGGAAUUGCGCCCUAAACUACCGUGCUCGAGGGAGAUAGAGGUGAGCGGAACUUAGGGUGGAGCGGUGAAAUGCGUUGAUAUCCUAAGGAACACCGGUGGCGAAAGCGGCUCACUGGAUCUCUUCUGACGCUGAGGCACGAAAGCUAGGGUAGCGAACGGGG
RNAcentral lists this ribosomal RNA (254 nucleotides) under uncultured bacterium. RNAcentral's name for it is "partial 16S ribosomal RNA". It matches the Rfam family "Bacterial small subunit ribosomal RNA", at positions 524 to 777 of the family's 1533-position model. The record is from RNAcentral.